RNAcentral lists this ribosomal RNA (465 nucleotides) under uncultured bacterium. RNAcentral's name for it is "partial 16S ribosomal RNA". It matches the Rfam family "Bacterial small subunit ribosomal RNA", at positions 28 to 507 of the family's 1533-position model. The record is from RNAcentral.
GACGAACGCUGGCGGCGUGCUUAACACAUGCAAGUCGAACGGAAAGGCCCUGCUUGCAGGGUACUCGAGUGGCGAACGGGUGAGUAACACGUGGGUGAUCUGCCCUGCACUUCGGGAUAAGCCUGGGAAACUGGGUCUAAUACCGGAUAGGAGCCAUUUUUAGUGUGAUGGUUGGAAAGUUUUUUCGGUGUAGGAUGGGCUCGCGGCCUAUCAGCUUGUUGGUGGGGUAAUGGCCUACCAAGGCGGCGACGGGUAGCCGGCCUGGGAGGGUGGACGGCCACAUUGGGACUGAGAGACGGCCCCGACUCCUACGGGAGGCAGCAGUGGGGAAUAUUGCACAAUGGGCGCCAGCCUGAUGCAGCGACGCCGCGUGGGGGAUGACGGCCUUCGGGUUGGAAACUCCUUUCGCUAGGGACGAAGCUUUUUGUGACGGUACCUAGAUAAGAAGCACCGGCUAACUACGUG